CAGCCUGCCCAGUGACUCUGUUCAACGGCCGCGGUAUCCUAACCGUGCGAAGGUAGCGUAAUCACUUGUUCUUUAAAUGUGGACUAGUAUGAAUGGCAUCACGAAGGUUAUACUGUCUCCUUUUUCUAAUCAGUGAAACUAAUCUCCCCGUGAAGAAGCGAGGAUAAAACUAUAAGACGAGAAGACCCUAUGGAGCUUUAAACAUUUAUAACACUUGCUAAAUAAAAUACAAAUUUCAGAAUUAUUUACUCUUUAAGCAACUUGUCUAUAAGUUUUUGGUUGGGGUGACCGCGGAGCAUAAUACAACCUCCAUGUUGAAAGAUCUAUUUCUAAGCUAAGAGCUACACCUCUAAGCAUCAACAUAUUGACAUCCAUUGACCCAAUAUAUUUGAACAACGAACCAAGUUACCCUAGGGAUAACAGCGCAAUCCACUUCAAGAGCUCCUAUCGACAAGUGGGUUUACGACCUCGAUGUUGGAUCAGGGUUUCCCAGUGGUGCAGCCGCUACUAAAG
Molecule: ribosomal RNA, 513 nt
Rfam family: Bacterial large subunit ribosomal RNA